UUUGCGUCGAAGGUAUACCGGUAAGGAGUGCUGGAGCGAAUAGAAGUGAGCAUGCAGGCAUGAGUAGCGAUAAUUAAUGUGAGAAUCAUUAACGCCGUAAACCCAAGGUUUCCUACGCGAUGCUCGUCAUCGUAGGGUUAGUCGGGUCCUAAGUCGAGUCCGAAAGGGGUAGACGAUGGCAAAUUGGUUAAUAUUCCAAUACCAACAUUAGUGUGCGAUGGAAGGACGCUUAGGGCUAAGGGGGCUAGCGGAUGGAAGUGCUAGUCUAAGGUCGUAGGAGGUUAUACAGGCAAAUCCGUAUAACAAUACUCCGAGAACUGAAAGGCUUUUUGAAGUCUUCGGAUGGAUAGAAGAACCCCUGAUGCCGUCGAGCCAAGAAAAGUUUCUAAGUUUAGCUAAUGUUGCCCGUACCGUAAACCGACACAGGUGGGUGGGAUGAGUAUUCUAAGGCGCGUGGAAGAACUCUCUUUAAGGAACUCUGCAAAAUAGCACCGUAUCUUCGGUAUAAGGUGUGGUUCGCUUCGUACUAGGAUUUACUCCGAAAGCGAAGAAACUUACAACAAAGAGUCCCUCCCGACUGUUUACCAAAAACACAGCACUCUGCUAACUCGUAAGAGGAUGUAUAGGGUGUGACGCCUGCCCGGUGCUCGAAGGUUAAUUGAUGGGGUUAGCAUUAGCGAAGCUCUUGAUCGAAGCCCGAGUAAACGGCGGCCGUAACUAUAACGGUCCUAAGGUAGCGAAAUUCCUUGUCGGUUAAAUACCGACCUGCAUGAAUGGCGUAACGAGAUGGGAGCUGUCUCAAAGAGGGAUCCAGUGAAAUUGUAGUGGAGGUGAAAAUUCCUCCUACCCGCGGCAAGACGGAAAGACCCCGUGGACCUUUACUACAGCUUGACACUGCUACUUGGAUAAGAAUGUGCAGGAUAGGUGGGAGGCUUUGAGUAUAUGACGCCAGUUGUAUAUGAGCCAUUGUUGAGAUACCACUCUUUCUUAUUUGGGUAGCUAACCAGCUUGAGUUAUCCUCAAGUGGGACAAUGUCUGGUGGGUAGUUUGACUGGGGCGGUCGCCUCCCAAAUAAUAACGGAGGCUUACAAAGGUUGGCUCAGAACGGUUGGAAAUCGUUCGUAGAGUAUAAAGGUAUAAGCCAGCUUAACUGCAAGACAUACAAGUCAAGCAGAGACGAAAGUCGGUCUUAGUGAUCCGGUGGUUCUGUGUGGAAGGGCCAUCGCUCAAAGGAUAAAAGGUACCCCGGGGAUAACAGGCUGAUCUCCCCCAAGAGCUCACAUCGACGGGGAGGUUUGGCACCUCGAUGUCGGCUCAUCGCAUCCUGGGGCUGGAGCAGGUCCCAAGGGUAUGGCUGUUCGCCAUUUAAAGCGGUACGCGAGCUGGGUUCAGAACGUCGUGAGACAGUUCGGUCCCUAUCUGCCGUGGGCGUAAGAAGAUUGAAGAGAUUUGACCCUAGUACGAGAGGACCGGGUUGAACAAACCACUGGUGUAGCUGUUGUUCUGCCAAGAGCAUCGCAGCGUAGCUAAGUUUGGAAAGGAUAAACGCUGAAAGCAUCUAAGCGUGAAGCCAACUCUAAGAUGAAUCUUCUCUAAGCUUUCUAGAAGACUACUAGUUUGAUAGGCUGGGUGUGUAAUGGAUGAAAGUCCUUUAGCUGACCAGUACUAAUAGAGCGUUUGGCUUAUCUUUAAUAAAGCAU
RNAcentral lists this ribosomal RNA (1700 nucleotides) under Campylobacter jejuni. RNAcentral's name for it is "partial 23S ribosomal RNA". It matches the Rfam family "Bacterial large subunit ribosomal RNA", at positions 1244 to 2925 of the family's 2925-position model. Lineage: Bacteria; Pseudomonadati; Campylobacterota; Epsilonproteobacteria; Campylobacterales; Campylobacteraceae. The record is from RNAcentral.